UACGAAGGGGGCUAGCGUUGCUCGGAAUCACUGGGCGUAAAGCGCACGUAGGCGGAUUGCUAAGUCAGGGGUGAAAUCCUGGAGCUCAACUCCAGAACUGCCCUUGAUACUGGCGGUCUCGAGUCCGGGAGAGGUGAGUGGAAUUCCGAGUGUAGAGGUGAAAUUCGUAGAUAUUCGGAGGAACACCAGUGGCGAAGGCGGCUCACUGGUCCGGUACUGACGCUGAGGUGCGAAAGCGUGGGGAGCAAACAGG
Molecule: ribosomal RNA, 253 nt
Filed under: uncultured bacterium
Lineage: Bacteria
Description: partial 16S ribosomal RNA
Rfam family: Bacterial small subunit ribosomal RNA
Source: RNAcentral